This 253-nucleotide ribosomal RNA is filed under the name uncultured bacterium. RNAcentral's name for it is "partial 16S ribosomal RNA". It matches the Rfam family "Bacterial small subunit ribosomal RNA", at positions 524 to 776 of the family's 1533-position model. The record is from RNAcentral.
UACAGAGGGUGCAAACGUUGUUCGGAAUUACUGGGCGUAAAGCGUGUGUAGGCGGUCUCAUAAGUCGGAUGUGAAAGCCCCGAGCUUAACUCGGGAAGUGCACAAGAAACUGUUGAAUUUGAGUUCCGGAGAGGAAGGCAGAAUUCCCGGUGUAGCGGUGAAAUGCGUAGAUAUCGGGAGGAAUACCAGUGGCGAAGGCGGCUGUCUGGGCCAGUUCUGACGCUGAGGCGCGAAAGCGUGGGUAGCAAACAGG